AGUUUGAUCCUGGCUCAGGACGAACGCUGGCGGCGUGCUUAACACAUGCAAGUCGAACGAUGAAGCCGCUUCGGUGGUGGAUUAGUGGCGAACGGGUGAGUAACACGUGGGCAAUCUGCCCUUCACUCUGGGACAAGCCCUGGAAACGGGGUCUAAUACCGGAUACCACUCUGUCCCGCAUGGGACGGGGUUGAAAGCUCCGGCGGUGAAGGAUGAGCCCGCGGCCUAUCAGCUUGUUGGUGGGGUAAUGGCCUACCAAGGCGACGACGGGUAGCCGGCCUGAGAGGGCGACCGGCCACACUGGGACUGAGACACGGCCCAGACUCCUACGGGAGGCAGCAGUGGGGAAUAUUGCACAAUGGGCGAAACGCCUGAUGCAGCGAUCGCCGCGUGAGGGAUGAGCGGCCUUCGGGUUGUAAACCUCUUUCAGCAGGGAAGAAGCACAAGU
RNAcentral lists this ribosomal RNA (448 nucleotides) under Streptomyces sp. 7BB12. RNAcentral's name for it is "bacterial SSU rRNA". It matches the Rfam family "Bacterial small subunit ribosomal RNA", at positions 10 to 457 of the family's 1533-position model. The record is from RNAcentral. Lineage: Bacteria; Bacillati; Actinomycetota; Actinomycetes; Kitasatosporales; Streptomycetaceae.